UCCCCGUUGCCGAGGCAGUCUCGCCAGAUAAUCCAACUGACAAUGAGGGUUGCGCUCGUUACUGGACUUAACCUAACAUCUCACGACACGAGCUGACGACGACCAUGCAUCACCUGUCACCGGUCCAGCCGAACUGACGUGCUCAUUUCUGUGCACUGCGACCGGGAUGUCAAGCCUUGGAUAAGGUUCUUCGCGUAUCGUCGAAUUAAACCACACGCUCCACCGCUUGUGCGGGUCCCCGUCAAUUCCUUUGAGUUUUAGCCUUGCGGCCGUACUCCCCAGGCGGGAUGCUUAACGCGUUAGCUUCGCUACCGAGGGGGUCGAUACCCCCGACAGCUAGCAUCCAUCGUUUACGGCGUGGACUAC
This 366-nucleotide unclassified non-coding RNA is filed under the name uncultured bacterium. RNAcentral describes it as "contains 16S-23S intergenic spacer region". The record is from RNAcentral.